Molecule: transfer RNA, 71 nt
Filed under: Loxodonta africana (African savanna elephant)
Lineage: Eukaryota; Metazoa; Chordata; Mammalia; Proboscidea; Elephantidae
Rfam family: tRNA
About the family: Transfer RNA (tRNA) molecules are approximately 80 nucleotides in length. Their secondary structure includes four short double-helical elements and three loops (D, anti-codon, and T loops).
Source: Rfam by way of RNAcentral
UCAGUGGUGGCUCAGUGGUAGAAUUCUCGCCUUCCAUGCAGGAGACCUAGGUUUGAUUCCUAGCCGAUGCA